UCGUGAGGCUGCGGCCUCUUCGAGGGAGAAUCCUUGCCUUUUCGAGCACCUGUUUGUUUCCUCGGCAGGCCCGCCUGCCAAUGGGGACCAUUUAAACUCUUGUAACAACCUGAAUGAAAAUCGUCUGAAUAAAAACAAAAAUCA
This 144-nucleotide unclassified non-coding RNA is filed under the name uncultured Ascomycota. Its description in RNAcentral is "sequence contains ITS1". Lineage: Eukaryota; Fungi; Ascomycota. The record is from RNAcentral.